RNAcentral lists this long non-coding RNA (8093 nucleotides) under Gallus gallus (chicken). Its description in RNAcentral is "lncRNA (ENSGALG00010028834.1)". The stretch from base 277 to 354 matches the Rfam family "mir-9/mir-79 microRNA precursor family". Lineage: Eukaryota; Metazoa; Chordata; Aves; Galliformes; Phasianidae. The record is from RNAcentral.
CCCAGCGCUGUGUCCCGUUCUCCUCGCGGCCCCCCGGAGUCGUUGCGGGCGGGGCCCCCGCGGUGCCCCCGUGGAGCGUGUGUGCGCCGCGCUCACCCGGCCCCGGAGCCGGACAAACAAUGUGAGACUCGGAGGAACAAAAGCCUCGGGGCUUGGGUUGCUGAACACGUCUGAGGCCAGACAAGCCGCUCAGUUUAUUGGACUUGCCACAUGCCUGGAAGCCCCCGGAGAAGAGGAGGUUGCCCUUUUCCUGCUAGUGCUGUAGACUUCAGGGGUUGGUUGUUAUCUUUGGUUAUCUAGCUGUAUGAGUGGUGUCGAUUCUUCAUAAAGCUAGAUAACCGAAAGUAAAAAUAACCCCAUUACACGCCUGAGGAGGAUGUGGAGAAGAAAGGAAAUUCAUCGGGAGGAAGAGAAGGAAAACAAAAAGAAAAAUGAAAGAGAAAGAAAGAAAGAAGACGAAGGAAAGGAGAGGCGGAAAAAAGAAAGAACAGAGGGGAGGAAAAAAAAAAAAAAGACAACUUUUUGAGACUGGAAUUAAAAACCGAGGUAGGAUUUCAUGAUUUCUUCAUUUCAAGACCUGAUUUGUCUCCUUUUAAGCAAGCAUUUUCUGGUUCCGCCUUGAGCAAAAUGGGGACGGUGCCGUUCUUUGCUCGGCUGCUGACUAUAAUUGAAUUAACAAAGUAAAACUUCCCAUCAGAUUGUGAAUUAGUGAAGCACAGGACCCAGACUGCAGAUCGAGGAUGAACUCUCAUUGCGUAACCUCUCGUAUAGCAUCGCAGAACCCAUAAAUCAAUACAGAUUACCGUGCUGGAUUAUCUGUUUAAUAAAGCAGCAACCGAGCACUGUUUAUUAAUGGUUGUUUUGCAAAUAUGAACACUGGAUUCUUUUCCUUUUUUCUCUUCUCCCCACCCCCCCCCCCAACCCCCCCACUAUUUCCAAUCUAUUUAGCUUCAUUCCCUGACAGAGAUAACUUGGUAUCCAGAUUAGAAAGAGCGAUGCAGUGAUUUGGAAAAUGGUUUCUUGCAGCUUUCUUUGUGUUAUUUUAUUUUUUUUUAUUAUUCCCUCUUUUUGUACCUCUAUCCAAACGCUCCCUUUCUUCUUUCAACCCUCUGCCUGUGAACGUUUCUUUGAUCCAAGAUUGGGGUUUUAUUAACAAAACUAUCUAUUUAAUUUGCCUUUGAAGCAGCGCGAGACGAAUGGGGGGGGAAACUUGAUUUUUUUUCUAUUAUUUCUUCUCUCCGAAUGCCAAUUCACACCAAUCUUCGCUCCCUUCACUGUGUUAUCUCUUGGCCCCUUCUUAUGGAAUCCAGGAUUUCUACUUGCUCUGCUUUAGAAGGGGACUGGGGUUCAUGGAUGUGCAUUGGGCGCUCCCCACCCACUGCUAUGGCCAGGCUGCUUAGAUGCCACCCGCCCAACCUGGCGGCCCAUUUGGACAAUGUCUUGAUGCUGCUUCAAAGAACACAAAGCUCUCCGUGUGGGUUAGGAUAUAUGUUACAUACCAUCUCAUAACGGUCAUUCCAAGGGUUGGGGGGGUUGCAAAGCUCUUAAUAAAAAAUGUAUAUGAGCCUUAGCGGCCGAACUGAUGUUGGAAAGGAGUCUUUAGAGCAUUGCACCUUGGGAGAGGUGUAGAAAAAGAGCUGGCUUUUGACCUGUGCUGGACCUGCUCAUUUUGCUCUUGUGCUCAUCAGAACCUUAUUAUUAUUAUUAUAUUUUUUAAAGGGAGAGGGAGAGUGGAAGAAACUGUCCCUGGGACCUUGUGCAGGGGGAGGCUGUAGUUCAGGAUGCGGUGUGAGAUGAGUCAUGCUCCUAUGAUGACUUUAAUUUAAUAAACAAAGCCAUUUUCACCUCCUCACCCACAGCCCCAUAAUUCAGACUCACUCGGUGCAUGUGCCACCUCCCUGCACCCAUUUCCUUGGGGAUGAGUCCAGGAAACACCCCCUGCCCACACCCUUCUGGGUGUGCUCGGGUGCUGCUCUUGUCCUGCAGCCGAGGGUGCUGGGGCAGAGGGACAUUUCUUUGUGCUCUCAUUGCAUCCCCUGCUGCUGCUCCAGGCUGGUGGCACAUCCCAGGCCGGGGCCAUGUGGCUGAGAGUGGAGGGAUGGAGAGCACUGAGUCCAUGGACGGUUUCUAUGGGGCUUGUCCUGUGCCUGAGCAUGGGAUGGAGUCAGCCGCCUGGCUUUGGUGGCAGCAGGAUGUCACUGUGCUGCUGUCCCCUUUGAGGUGCCCGGUGCCACCAGCAGAUGUUUGGGUGCGGGUGGGCAUCGGGCACAGCUGUGUGUCCUCGUGCAAGAGGCUCACUGGGGACAAUGCAGUGGGUGAGGUGCUUUUAUUGCUGGGGAGCAGCCACGUGCCACCCUCUGUUGAACAGUGGAUUGGGUCUGGGUGGGGGGAGGGGGAGUGGUGGAAGGACGGUGCCAAUCAGGGGCUGGGAGCAGCGUGCCAUCAUCUUUUGGUUUUCCCAGGUGACCAAUCCUGGUGGGCACGGGGCCGAGGCGGUGCUGCCAUAGGCUGUGGUGUGAUGCUGUCACCUGCUCGGCUCUAACAAAGGCAUGGGCAGAGAUGGGGCUGGUGACCUGGGAUGAGGGCAAAGCUCUGUGGGGAAUUUGGUGACCCAUGGAGUAGGGGAUGCUCAUUGUCCAAGCCAUUCCCUGCUCAACCAUCCCUACUGGGUGCAAUCCUGCACUCCUAAGAGGGAAUCGAUACUCAGCAGCCCCAUUUCUCCCACCCCAUGGGGCUCGGGAUGCUGUCAGAUGCUCUCUGUCUUAGCAGAACUUCUUUACAGUCUCAUGUCACUGCGGCAGGUGAGCAUGAGCAUGGCCAUCCCAAGGCCUUUGGGAGCUGGAAUCCUGCAGGCAGCUGUCCCCGACCCUUAUUUAUUUCCUCCUCUCCCCACUUUGCUCCCAGAGUGUUCUGGCAGUAGGAGCACUGUGUGUUGGCAUGACGUUGAUCUAAAUUGCAGCUUAUAUGUGGCUGUUUAAGCUUGCUUGGACACUGUGAUUUGAGUGGUUAACACUCAGCACUGUCUGCUCGCCUCUCCCUUGUGUCUACCUAACUGCUGGAGACGUUAAUGGGAGAGAUGCUUGCAUGUUCUGUAUUGAGCGCUCAGCCCUCCGUGUCCUUUCUCAUGCUUGACGCAGAGUGGUUGGAGCAAAGAAAGGAGUAAAGGCGAUACUAAUUAAUCACCGGGUCAGUGAGUGAUUGAGAAGAACCGGCUUAUACAGAUGUAACCAUUGACAAAUGGUGAUCUCAAUUCAGUGCAUCGUUUUCACCUUGAAAUACCCUAGGAAUGAACCUGAGGUUGACUUGCCUUUGCCUUAAACAAAUGGCUGAAGCCUUCCGAGGUCUCCAGCCCUCGUCAUCCCCACUGUGACCCAUUGGGUUUCUCGUGCUAUGGGCCAGGGAGGUGGAGAAUAGUGCGGUCACAAAGAAACCAUGUGUGUGUGCGUGUCUAAAUGCAGGAAUAUCUAUGUUUCAAACUCCAAGUAAUUGCAGCAGGGUUGCAGUGCUGAUGGAUGGAUUCUGGUGAUGCUCACGAGGGAGCAGUGGGGUUUUGGGGUCUGUGCCUCACCCUGUUCCCAAGGCAAUGCUGUUGGGAAUGUCAGGUCUGUGUGGGUCUGCUCCUCGUUGGCCUGGGGCUGUGUCUUUGUGCUGGGAGCAGCCGUUCCUCUCCAAAUAAGCAGGACUCCCAAGCCCUGAGGGUUUCCAAGGGCGUGAUUUUCACGUUGGGAUUAUGACAAAGCGUCUGAGUGGGCGCACUGAGUUCCUGGAGGAACCAAAUUGGGCCCUGUUGAAUUUUGGCAGUGAGAACAGCAUCCCGGGGCUGUGCUCUGCAUGAAUGGUGUGCCCCCGAGCUCUGCCCCCGUUGCAGAUUUGGGACAUUGCAGUGCUCUGCAAUGAGUCUUGCCGUGCCCCGCAUUAGCGCUGGGCAUCCCAGUGCUACUUUUUCCCCUAUAGCACAAAAAAGAAAGCAAUGAGGGGCUUUCUCCAUUCCUAUCCCCUCAGCAAGCCAAUGUGGCACAUGGCAUCCACCAAAUGGGAGUCGACGGGUGCCCUGGGGGGACAGCUGAUGGCAUUUCCCUCGGCAGCAGCAGGGAGGAAAAUGCUGAGCUAGGCACUGGUGGGGCCGGGUCGGUCGCUGUGAUGCUCUGAGGGUGAUUGGAUGUGAAAGCAGAGCUGCUGGCUGCUUUCUGGCUCCCCAUUUGCCUCGUGUUGCAGGAGGUUUGGCUGGCCUGGGACAAUGUGACAGCACUGCCAUCGAGAUAGGAGCCUUAAAAGUAGUUCUAGAGCCAUGGUCUGGUUGCCCUGUGGGGUUUUUAGGGAUGGGGAGAGCCAAGUGUGAGUGCUCCGCUCUCUGCCUUCUCUAGAAUGCAAUGGAAAGGCAAUGGCUGCUGGCUGGGGGGCUCGAGAGCAGGCAAGCAUCUGCAAAGCGGUGCUGUCGUGGUGGGUUUCGCAGGAAAAGAUGGGAAAUGCACUGAGAGCUGAAUCACAGGGCAGAUCGCUGAGGUCUGUGAGGGUGGGAGCAGCUCCUGGCUGAAUGUGCUCCGAUCAGCGGUCUCGUGCUGGUGUGACAUGAGGAUUUGCCCUGCUGCUGCUGAGAGCCGGUGCUCGUGGCUACGAUGCUGAGCUGUGUAAUCCCUAAGCUGUGGCUCUGACAGCCCUAGGAGGUGUAAAAAUCAUUCUAAUUCCACUUUCAGGGCUUUUGGUGUCACCAGGGCAGGGACAAAGGGGGCAAUGCCAAGUGUGUGCGCUCGGUCUCAAAUCCCUGCACAUGGAUCUUGGGGAAAAUGUGAUUAAUAAGUGCUGGGGAUGAACAUGGGUGUGUGUGAUGGGGGUAUUAACCACCCCAAAGUUGUUUUGUUUGGAGGAAAAAAGUGUGUAUAUAUAUGUCUGUCCUUGGAUCCAUUUUGUUCCCUUUGAUAGAUACUGUGUGGGUAAUGGGGAGGAGAUGAGGGGCUGCAGGACUGUGAUUCCCUUUUGGAAGCACUGAGUGCUCCUUGGGAAGGAGGAAGAGCUUCCCUUGAGGUGUUAGCUUUGUUCCAGCCCUUCCUCCUGCUCUAACUUUCAGUCAGUGUCAAAGGGAGGGAAGCCUACAAUUAGGACUGGUGGGUUCUGAGUGGGUUCCUCAGCCCCAAGCGGGUUUUGUGCCCUCCUGAGCCCCUGACGCACCAUGGGCUGCGCCGUCCUCACCUCCCAUGAGUGAGCUGUAGGGGGGGAAAACAAAAUGGAAAGGAAUUGUGUCUUCAGAUGGCCUGGCAGCGUUGUCUGGAGCUGCAUGUGGGGUUGAUGGGAAAGGUGUGGGGAGCUGGGAAUGUAACUCUGGCUGACGAAGGGCAACAGGGAUGGAGUUUGCUUGGAAGCUUGGGUUGAUGCCAUGCAGAGCUGUUGGUGUUCAGGGACUCGUGGGUGCUGCAGAGGGUGAAUGGGCCACCGAUGGCUGCGGGUUCUGCACAGACCCCACCUCCUGGGGAGUUUGCUCCCUUCCUCUGCUUUGGUUUAGCUUCGAACCACCAAAGCCCGGAGAAACCUGCUCCCUAUUAAAGCAUAUCGAGAUAUAACAUAUAAAAACAUGAAGUUUUAUCUCAAGGCCAUUCCAUUCCAGAGGAGCUGGGUGCUUUCUGGAGCACGCGCUGCGCACGGCCGUAGAACCCACGGCUGCAAGGCUCUCUGCUUUGCGGGUUGCCAUGGAAAACCAGGAUUAUUCAGCUUGUGCAUGGGCAGAGGGGGCCAGCACCAUCGUUUUGAACAUGCACCGUGCUGGCCCUGGUGGGAGCCUCGGCAUCCUCCCUGCUCUCCUCCCGCAGCCCCAGCCCCUUGGCUGGGCUCUUAUCUCCAAUAAUCCUCCCAUAAGAGGGCUUUCUGCUUGUUAUGACACCCAGUGAAAGCGUGGGAGAAAGAUCCUUUCUUCACCCUUGUCCUCCGCAGCCAGCCACUAGCCUGAAUGGGAGGCUUUUUUGUGUCCCUGUGUGCCUGACUAAUUGAGCUGAAGGACUUGCGUCUGGAAGGGCUUGAAAGGGACUUUUGUUGCUGCUGCAGAGUUUGUGGAAGGCGAAUGAGCACUGCUUUCUUAAGGGAUGCAGGUCCUGGGCAAAUUUGACUCUCGAGUGCUCACGCCUCUGAGGUCUUUGGGAAAAUUAGGAGGAAAAAAAAAAAAAGGGUGGUGGGUUUGCUUGCUUGCUUUCUUUUUUUUUUUUUUUUUUCCUUGCUGAAAAAUGGAGUCUGGCCCCCAAAUGCUUUGUGAGCCGGCUUUAAAACAGGGCUGAGAAAGCACUGAGAUAAGAAAAUGGUGGUUUAAAAAUAACCACGCCGCCUCCUGCGUCCUCAGGGCUGACACUCGGAGCACAAAUCCCCUCCGUGACCUCAGGAGGAAUUGAGGUUCCACCAUCCAACGGCGCUUCCCAGCUGUGUUCUGCCCCGUCAUGCUGCGAGCUGAUGGGCACUGAGCACCCCCAGCACUGCCCACACCCCUCCGUUCGCUGCUGCAAAAUCCUCUUUCCCUUUUUGCCUUUGCUGUGAUGGAAGGGGUGGGAAGUCGGGGUUCUUGACGCAGUUGCUUUCCUUAGGGCAUGGGGUUGUCCCAUGGGUGCUGUCUGUGCAUGGAAGGGUGCAGAAGCACUCGGCAUCACUCUGUGCGCGGUGCUUCCAAUGGGCCCUCGUUCAUUUCUCAGGGCAUCCUCAUCCAGGAUGGGGAAAACUGAGGAUGUGCAACAGAAUGCAGCCGGGCUUUCUGACAGCAGUGCAGAUGUGGCCAUUGGUGCAACUGGGGGAGGGUGCUCGGCUGCCCAAUCUCACCCCAGCCACAUUUCCCUGCACAAUGCACCUUGCGGACAUUUCCUUGAUGCUGCUGGAGAUGAUGAGGGGUAAAUGCAUCGACAGAGCUGGAAAGUCCAAGUGAGGACCAAGGCCUCGCAUCCCCCUGUGGCGGCCAUCCAAAAUCACUCAGCCUUUUCCUCUCCCCUGAUCUCCAACUGAUCUGCAAACUGUGGUUUCUCUUAUCACCUCAAUGUAAAAAUUCUUCUUCUUUUUCCUUCCCUUUAUCAUUUUUCCUUUUUUACCCUUCUCCUCCCCAAUCAUGUAAUUCCCCAAGCUGCCAGGCUGCACUCCUAUAGACGUGGAUAGACGUGUUCCCUUUGCCAGUGGGGUUCUGGCACAAAGCAGCUCCACCUCCGCUCCUCCUUUGCUGCGGCGCUGGGGAUGCCGUUGACUCCACCAGUGCAGACAGUGGCUUCCCCUGCUGUGAUGCCCCACUCGUUUCCUGGGCAGCCAAGAGCAAUGCUUGAGUCCUGGUGGAAGUUCAUUCAGAAUUGCCUGGAGCGAAGGCUGGAGAGGAAAACCACAACCACAGCAGAGCCUGGACACGGGGAGCUGCUAGCAGGACCCAUCUCAGGGACAGUCACUGUGUGUACCUUCCUCCAUCCUCCUCCUGCUCCCAGCAGCUGAUGGCCUGGAGCAGCACAGAGCAAGCCUGGCAUCGGGCUAUAGGGACACCAGGAGCACCCCGGGGAUAGGACCCAACACCAUGCCACACUGGUGGAGAACACAAAGCUGGAAGAGGGGAAAAAAAAAAUCAACAGAAGAAGAAGAAAAGAAUGGAAACGAAAGUCUCCAAACUCAGGAGAUCUGUGUUAAUUGCUUACGAACGUCUCCAUCCCAAAAGUUAUCCGAUUGAUGUUGUCGUGCUUUUUUUUUGACAGCCUGUCUGUUAUGUAUUUUUUUUUAAAUAUUCAUGCACCGAAAUCUAAUUACUAGGCAAAUUUAAUGAUAAUGAAAUGAAGGCACUUUAGCAGAAAGCAUAGGGCCUUGUUAAUAUUUUCUCAGUCUCUGUCUUGCUCACAUUUUUUUUUCACCGCCGCCUUUCUUGCAGUAUAAAAGAAUUGCCAAAAAUAAAACUUGGAUUGCUGAAGAUGUUUGUGGUGGCUCUUUUUAUAAUGAUGGGGGAUUUGUGAGGUGAUUAAAGGUGUUGGGCAAAAAAAUCAAGUGAGCCAAAGCUAAUCGGGUCAGGCAGAUGAAGUAUUGAUGUUAGGGAACGUUAUGGGGGAGGACGGGUGCAUGCAUGGAUGGAUGGAUGCAUGCAUGGAUGGAUAGAUGGAUGGAGG